CAAUAGCGUAUAUUAAAGUUGUUGCAGUUAAAAAGCUCGUAGUUGGAUUUCUGGCUGGAGCGAUCGGUCCGCCCCGCAAGGGGUGUGUACUAGCGUCGUCUCCGACCAUCCUUGUGGGAACUGUGCGGCCGUUAACUCGGUUGUAUAUGGGAACACAUCGUUUACUGUGAAAAAAUUAGAGUGUUUAAAGCAGGCUUAAGCCGUUGAAUACAUUAGCAUGGAAUAAUAAGAUAAGACUUGGGUCAUUAUUUUGUUGGUUUGCGGAUCGAGGUAAUGAUUAAUAGGGAUAGUUGGGGGUAUUCAUAUUUAAUUGUCAGAGGUGAAAUUCUUGGAUUUAUGAAAGAUGAACUUAGGCGAAAGCAUUUACCAAGGAUGUUUUCAUUAAUCAAGAACGAAAAGUUUAAGGGGGAGUCGAAAGAACGUAGUACUACGAAGUAACCUAACCUACUUCGUAGGAACGUACGUCCGAACCGGAACGGACCAACCAACGGGGAA
Molecule: ribosomal RNA, 495 nt
Filed under: uncultured eukaryote
Lineage: Eukaryota
Description: bacterial SSU rRNA
Rfam family: Eukaryotic small subunit ribosomal RNA
Source: RNAcentral